GAGUGUUUUGGACUGUCUUUGAAGCCCACAGCUGUGAGCUGCCAGAGGGGAGACCAGGAAUGGUUCUGGUUUCUGCACUGUGCCUCAGAUCAGGCAUGAUGGGUCCAGCUCUUGCGGAGGAAGGAGCUCUGGCUGAGUCAGGCUCAGGUACUCACUGCCUCUGCCAGCAGUCCUUUCCUGCUGUAAAUGCUGAUUCCACCGUGAAUUCAUAGGAUCAAACGAAUAUUCCCUAGUGUUUCCAGGGACAGCAUCACGGGUGCAGAUGCCAAGGCCAGCGCGUUCCCCUGGCAUUCCGAGGUCUCCUUACUCCACCGAGUGGCCGGUCACUCCACUGCACGUGUGUCACCACCUGCCGAGGUUGGCAAGAAAAAUAAUACGUAAAGCAGAGAUCCAUCCAACAUGGUUCUCUCCUACCUCAAUCAGCCACCAAAAAGAAAAGAAAUCCUCUCCAAGCAGUGACCAAAUGGUUCAUUUGUUCCUCCACAAGACAUACAACUACUCCUUAACUAUCAAAUCUAUUACACAGCAAAUGCCAAAACCAGGUUCAGAGAAACUUUGUGAGGGUGAACUCUGCUCUGUUCAAAUUCUUACUGUUUCUGCAUGAGUUUGUGGGCCAGAUAAAUUACUACUCCAUCCCUGAAUCCCUUCUGGAAAAAUGUUACAGCAGGGAUUACUGUAACAAGCAUAUAUCAAACCAGGAGUUCUGUGGAAAGGAAGUAUAUGUGGACAGAUUCUUGGUAGAUGUUUCAGAGAUGUUUAUUUCUCCAGCCGCAUGGCCGGGGCUCUGCUCAGGAACCCCGCAGUCACAGGACCCGAGGGUCCUUGCCCACACAGGGAAACACAAACCAACCAAUGGGGAAUGAGGCUGACCAGGGGCAGGGAAACCCCGUGUCUCACCCCCAGGGCCCUGCUCCCAGGGCUCCAUGGCAGGGGGGGGACCCCAACAGAAAAACAUGAGAAUGUCUCAGGGUUCAGAAGUGACACAUAAAAAUUGUGCUGCCAUACUUAAGAAUAUUUACAGGAUAAUAGACACAACAUGACAAUGAAGAAUUGCUCCAAGAUUUCCAUCUUGCCUCAGAAUUUCCUCAGAGAUUCUUCUUUUGUUGUGGCUUUGAAAGAAACUUCUAGGUUUCUUUCUCUGGCUUGGAAAAGGCAGAUAGUUAUAGAAAGCCAAAACUGUUCAUGCUAAAGCAGCAGUACUGAAUUACUGAUUUUUUAACAGAGAUUUGUUUCUGGGAAAAUUAACUGAUAGUGAGCAAAAUAAGUCAGUGGCUGUCAGGCUACCUAUGCAAUCAGUCUGCAGCUGUAGAGGAUGAAAUACAAACACUGAGCUGUUUUCUUCUGACUGAUCCAGCAUCUGUAAAAAAUCUUAUUAAUAUUUAGAAUGAAUCACUCUAAUGGAUUUGCCAAGUUACUGCCCUUAUCUGGAAAAGGCACAGUGCAUGAAAUCAAAGUGGACAAAGUAUGUCACUGCUAAUCAGAUACACAGUGGGACUUGAACUCCUUUCAAAGCAACUGAUCUCCUACAGCAUCUGCUGGACAGGUGACCUACCUUUGUGAUGAUCUAGAGCUGUGACACAUCAGUGACAAAGCCUUUGCUGGAAUAAAAUGAAUCUUCCUUGAUGCUAAAGGAUUGCUGCUUUGUUGUUUGCAUUUAAAUGAACCCUAGUUAAAAGCCUGUCUCCAUGGGCAAGUGUUUUUAUUCUAGCAUAUUUAUAUUUGGCAUAGCCCCUAAACCCAACAAAUGGUUACCACCAGCCUUCUUGACGCCAUUUUUUUUCCUCACAAGCUGUCUCUGCCAACAAAAAGACCUGCAGAAGCUAAAACAAAGCAGGACAAGGAACAGAUGCUUCAGGCCUGUGACUGAGCACCAGCCCAUGGCAAUGUGAAUCAAUGUCCCAUUUGAUAAAAAAGGGUGAGUACAGCACUGAACGCUGCUUUCUGGAGAGACCACCUUCUCAAUUAGUUUCCUCUAUCAAGCCCUAUAGUAUUAAUUUAGGAUUAAUGCAUAAUAUUGUAUAUAACAGGACUGAGGACCAGCCAACUCAAACUGCUGUCAUGGUUUAACCCCAGCCAGCAAACAAACACCACAGAGCUGCCCACUUAUUUCCCCCCCCCAAGACGGAAGGGGGAGAGACUUAAGGGUAAAAGGGAGAAAACUCGUAUGUUGAAAUAAAGACAGUUUAAUAGGCAACAAGCAAAUAAAAACAAGGAAUUCAUUCACCACGUCCCACGGGCAGGCAGGUGUGCAGCUGUCUCCAAGGAAGCAGGGCUCCAUCACAUGCCACAGUUACUUGGGGAGACAAAUGGCAUCACUCCCAAGGUCCCCCCUUUCCUUCUUCUCCCCCAGCUGAGCAUGACACCACCUGGUCUGGGACAUCCCUUGGGUCAGUGAGGGUCAGCUGUCCUGGCUGUGUUCCCUCCAACUCCUUGUGCUCCCAAAAGGCCCCUCACUAGUGGGGUCUGGUGAGAGCAGAAAAGGCCUUGCCAGAACUGCUCAGCCACAACUAAAACAACCCUGUGUUAUCAACACUGUCUCCAGUACACAUCCAAAACAUAGCCCACACUAUCUACUAGGAAGAAAAUUGACUUUAUCCCAGCCCAAACCAGCACAUUACCCAGGCAAAAACAUAUUGAUUUGCUUGGCAAAUUAUUUAAAAAUAUUCCUGGAAUGCAGAUAAGCAAAUUUACACACUGGUAGCAACCUCCUCUUGUUCAUCUAAAAGCCAAAACAGAAAAGAUGUCAUUUUCAAGCAGUGAAAUCAAUGUGAUGCUGAAGAGAGAUGAAUUAGACCUAUUUAUUGAAAAAAGCAUUUAAAAAACCAAAUCUGGAUUUGCAUUGCUAAAGUUCUCAAGAAUACAAGAAGGGAACACAAAAAGAAAAGCAAUUAUUAGGCGCCAGUAGUGCAGCUACUGGGUGAUUGCAUGUGUGUUCACACAGCAUUGUGCCUCAGUUCUUGCUAAGACAGUGCUAUCAGGUAUUUCAUGACAGUUUCAGUGGCUAGAGUAAUUGAGAGAUUGCUAUUUACUUAGGAUUCUGACAGUUGGAAGGAGCUGUUGUGCCUCCUAUCGGACACCAAUAAAAAACAACUACUUCAUGCUCCAUAGCAAAAGUCAAAUGAUGUCUGACCAAGUCUCUUCUUGACUAUGCAUUAUAAAAAUAAAUGUUGCAAAAUAAUAGGUCUCUGCAAGACUUAAAAAAAUCUCUAAAAGACAUGGAUCAAGAUUUUGUAUAUCCUUCCUUUAAACACUCCUAUCGUCUUUCAGAAUUAUGCUGUUACUGCUCAAAUAAUGCUCCUUUCCACUCCCCAGGCUAAACCCAGAAGGUUUUAAGAGGUUUCUGUCUGUUGGGACUCUUUGGUAUAACAAGAGGGUAUUAACAGACCUUCUGCUUCAGGAUACAGAAAAGCAGGAAUUCCUGCUGGAUGUGCUUCAGGUGUUGAGGCUAAAGGCAAAGUUUGAGUAAUGGGCAUUAAGAAGAAUGAAAACAAGAUUCAGAUGAAAAUGGUCAAAUCCUCCUCUGUGGGAUGUUCUUCUCUCUCCAUAGCACAGGAAGUCUGAAGAAUCCUGGAUCCUAAUUCAGGCACCUCAGCAAGAUGAGAUGGACUGUGAUUCCUCUACGGCAGGUCCUCUCUGUCCUGGCAUUUCCAUGUCUUCAGCUUGUAAUGCAGCCAGGUGACUCAAGCAGAAGCCUGAAGACAAAGGAAGGAACAUUCCACAGCCUCAUGAAGCAGGUCAGCUCUCCCAGAGGAACACAAAGUAAAUCAAGUCAAAUCAGUUUUACUCUUGGUGUGCAAACAGACAAGGGAGCAUUCAGGGAAGGGCAAGAGCACAAAAUCCUUCCAAGGCAAAGGUUCAGGGCUUGUUCUUUAUGACAGGGGACUUCCCUCUGGAAGAGUCACUUACGAACAGUGUUAAGGCAGCAAAUCACAGCUUAAAAAUUAAAAAGUGGUAACUCAUUCAAGGAAAAAAAAUGCCUUUCCACAAGCACUUGUGCACAGUAUCAGAAAGAUGAGGAAGGCUGUGUGUCCAAACAGCCACUGUGCCUCCUUUGGCUUAGGAUCCUGGACUCACACUCCUCCAGUGCCCUGGUGCUGGGCAGGAAGCCAG
RNAcentral lists this long non-coding RNA (4110 nucleotides) under Corvus moneduloides (New Caledonian crow). RNAcentral's name for it is "lncRNA (ENSCMUG00000019430.1)". Lineage: Eukaryota; Metazoa; Chordata; Aves; Passeriformes; Corvidae. The record is from RNAcentral.